GAAGAGCCCGAUUGUGUGCCGUAAUCCUGAAAGCUUUUUCCUGUUUAGAUUCCGCGGGGGAGAAGAGGUGCUGCACUGGAGCAAACCAGUCUUCAAAACAAUGGAUGAGCGCCACCAGUGCAAGAGGGGUGCAGAGAACCGCAUGCUGGAUUGACUGUGUUGGCGCCACCUAGAGUGAGGGUGUACUAAUGAGAGCAAAACGAAUACAAAAGAAAAACGGGGGAAGCACAAAGCUUUAAGAAAGCCGGGAGAUGGAUUUUAUAUCUUUAAACACUGCAAUAACAGUUCUGCUUGUGAAGCAUCCA
Long non-coding RNA from Polyodon spathula (Mississippi paddlefish), 305 nucleotides. RefSeq lists it as uncharacterized. The transcript is spliced from 3 exons. NCBI's taxonomy places the organism in Eukaryota, Metazoa, Chordata, Actinopteri, Acipenseriformes, Polyodontidae. The record is from RefSeq and is a predicted model, not a curated record.